RNAcentral lists this long non-coding RNA (207 nucleotides) under Arachis ipaensis. RNAcentral describes it as "long non-coding RNA (AIPA_LNC001960)". The record is from RNAcentral. Lineage: Eukaryota; Viridiplantae; Streptophyta; Magnoliopsida; Fabales; Fabaceae.
CUAAAUAUUUGUUGAUUGGUUAGAUGAAGAAUAAAGUUUAGAAAGCAUGAUUAGAGAAGAGUAGAGUGAUUAACCCCAUACACUUGAGUGAUUAGAGUGCAUAUACACCAUCAGUGAGGGUUCAAUGCUUGAUUCUAUGUUCCCUGCUUUCAUGAGCUGGCUUCUUACAAGUUUACUUCUCUUUAUUGUGUGAUUUAAAUUAGUGGA